Molecule: ribosomal RNA, 425 nt
Filed under: Alexandrium margalefii
Lineage: Eukaryota; Dinophyceae; Gonyaulacales; Pyrocystaceae
Description: partial Bacterial large subunit ribosomal RNA
Rfam family: Bacterial large subunit ribosomal RNA
Source: RNAcentral
CAUCCUCCAAGGCUAAAUACUCCUAACUGACCGAUAGUGAACCAGUACCGUGAGGGAAAGGCGAAAAGAACCCCUGUGAGGGGAGUGAAAUAGAACCUGAAACCGUAUACGUACAAGCAGUGGGAGCCCUUCGGGGUGACUGCGUACCUUUUGUAUAAUGGGUCAGCGACUUUGUCUCUCGAGCAAGCUUAAGCCGGUAGGUGUAGGCGCAGCGAAAGCGAGUCUGAAUAGGGCGACAUAGUCAGUGGGGGUAGACGCGAAACCUUGUGAUCUACCCAUGGCCAGGUUGAAGUUUUGGUAACACAAAAUGGAGGACCGAACUCAUAUACGUUGAAAAGUGUUGAGAUGAGCUGUGGGUAGGGGUGAAAGGCCAAUCAAACUGGGAAAUAGCUCGUACUCCCCGAAAUGUUUUUAGGAACAGCCUC